Molecule: ribosomal RNA, 258 nt
Filed under: uncultured bacterium
Lineage: Bacteria
Description: partial 16S ribosomal RNA
Rfam family: Bacterial small subunit ribosomal RNA
Source: RNAcentral
UGGCGGACGGGUGAGUAACGCGUGGGGAACCUGCCCUGUACAGGGGGAUAACACUUAGAAAUAGGUGCUAAUACCGCAUAAGCGCACAGUAUCGCAUGAUACAGUGUGAAAAACUCCGGUGGUACAGGAUGGACCCGCGUCUGAUUAGCUGGUUGGCGGGGUAACGGCCCACCAAGGCGACGAUCAGUAGCCGGCCUGAGAGGGUGAACGGCCACAUUGGGACUGAGGCACGGCCCAAACUCCUACGGAAGGCAGCAG